RNAcentral lists this long non-coding RNA (1042 nucleotides) under Pan troglodytes (chimpanzee). RNAcentral describes it as "long non-coding RNA NONPTRT007124". Lineage: Eukaryota; Metazoa; Chordata; Mammalia; Primates; Hominidae. The record is from RNAcentral.
CUCCAUUCUAUGUGUCCAGUCUUAGGCCCCUGCUGCCCUCCUGGCUCUCAGUGGAGAGAAAAGAGGAAAUAAAUUUGGACCCAGCCUUGAGAUCCUGGAAGAGCUCCUUUGGAUUUAGCCUUGGGAUCCUAGCAUCUCCUCACAAAAUUAUGAUCUUCCCUGGGCAUCUCUAAGCCACCAAUUGGGUUGCCUGCACCUGAGCAAAUACAGCAAGCACCUGCCUUAGAGAGCUCUUAGAGGGAUUAUCCGCAGCCUGAAGAAAGAAGGUUACAACUGAGGAAGAACUUCUGAACAGGGAAGAGUGGAAGAAAAGACUGCAGUAGGCUCAGCUCCAGAAGCAGACCCAGAAUGGCAUCCUUCUCUGAGACCCAGACCCCAGCCCCUCUUCAUGGAAGACCAGCACAAAGGAGGAAGUAGGUUAGGGAAUGGUAAGGCUCCAUGUGAUGGGACUAAUGUGGAGAGGCCUGGGGCCUUUCCCUGAGGACUGGAUGGCUGGAGUUUGGGAGCCUGAGUUGACAGAGGAGGCUAAGCCCGGGCAGCUACUUUGUUCCAGAAAUCUAAGGUCCCUGGAGGGAGGCUCUGCUUUGGGAGGGGGAAGGGAGCUAACAUUGCAGAGCACCAACUGUGAACCAGGUACAAUGGCAGAGCCUUUCCAUACCUGUACUCACAACUAGCGGGUGAGGAGUCAAGGCAAAUAGGUGUCUCAUAGCUCCCCAUAUCUCGGCAGUCGACCACCUCCUCCUUUGAUUCUCUGAUGUCACUGCCAGUUCUCCUCCUAUUGCUCUGACCUGUCUUUCUCUGUGUCCUUUGCAAACUCAUUCUCAACUCCUUAGACUCAGUCAAGUCCCCCAGUUACACACUUCCAUGGUACUAUAUAUCGUUCCUUCAGAGCACUUAACACAGUUAUUUCCUAUGUAUUUGUCCAGUCAUUUGAAUAAUGAUCCUAGUUUCAUUGGAUGGAAAGUUCCACAAGGUCAGUGACCAUUUCUAUCUGUGUUCACCAAUGUGUUCCCAGUGCCCAGAAACAAUGCCUAGCAUAAAG